AAGGACUUAACAGUCCACCGAAAGAGGAGCCUGCGGCCCAUCAGCUAGUUGGUGAGGUAAUGGCUUACCAAGGCUACGACGGGUAGGGGGCGUGAGAGCGCGUUCCCCCAGAAUGGGACUGAGACACGGCCCAUACACCUACGGGUGGCAGCAACCGGGAAUAGUACGCAAUGGACGAAAGUCUGACGUCGCGACGCCGCGUGGAGGAUGAAGGCCUAAGGGUCGUAAACUCCUUUUGCCAGAUGGGAGACCAUCUGGAGAAUAAGUAACUGCUAACUCUGUGCCAGCAGCAGCGGUAAUACAGAGGUUACAAGCAUUGUCCGGAAUCACUGGGCGUAAAGCGUUUCGCAGGUGUUCUUUUAAGUUACGUUUGAAAGACCGGGGCUCAACUUCGGGAACGGGCGUAGUACUGGAAGAAUUGAAGGGUAUCGGGGCUAUUGGAACUGUCGGUGUAGGGGUGAAAUCCGUUAAUAUCGACAGGAACUCCGAGGGCGUAGGCAGAUAGCUAGGUACCUCUUGACACUCAUGAACGAAAGCUAGGGGAGCGAAAGGGAUUAGAGACCUCUGUAGUCCUAGCCGUAAACUUUGCUCGCUAGCUUUCCCUAUUUUAUAGGGGGGGCGUAAGCUAACGCGUGAAGCGAGCCGCCUGGGGAGUACGAUCGCAAGAUUAAAACUCAAAGGAAUUGACGG
This 690-nucleotide ribosomal RNA is filed under the name uncultured bacterium. RNAcentral's name for it is "bacterial SSU rRNA". It matches the Rfam family "Bacterial small subunit ribosomal RNA", at positions 202 to 916 of the family's 1533-position model. The record is from RNAcentral.